ACGUUCCAGUCAUAUAAAAUUUUCCGAAGUAGUUGGCACAGAGAUAGAACUAUAACUUUAUAAGCAGAAAUAAGAAGGUUCCAAGUCAGUGAGAAAGGCAUCACCGAAAGUGCAGGGCAGCCCUAUUCAUACAUGGCCUCCUAUGAAUACAGAAUUCCCGGGACCAACUGCAGAAAAACAACUAUUUGUGCAAAAAAAUAAGAACUGGACUCUUCAGCUGGAAGGCUCACCUGUCAAUUAACUAUGACAAAAGGAAUUCUCAGUUCUCACUGCCUAACAACACUAUAGAGUAUAGCUAAACACCCUGUAUUCAAUCAUGCAUUCCUCAUCUCUUGGCAAGAGAUUUCCAGCAAAUAAAAGGAUUCAUCGAAGAUGGCCAACAAACGGUACGCAAGCUUCUUCCUGUUCUUUAUGAUGCCAUUUUCUCUCCUGCACAAAUCGUACCCGCAGUUGGUGAAUCAAUCUAGUGAUGAACACCAAAUCCUCCUUGAGAUCAAGAGACACUGGGGGAGCUCACCUGUUUUAGGUAGAUGGAGCUCCAAUUCUGCUGCUCACUGCAAUUGGGGAGGAAUCACAUGCACAGAUGGUGUGGUGACUGGCAUCUCUCUACCAAAUC
Molecule: long non-coding RNA, 616 nt
Filed under: Oryza sativa (Asian cultivated rice)
Lineage: Eukaryota; Viridiplantae; Streptophyta; Magnoliopsida; Poales; Poaceae
Description: long non-coding RNA (OSAT_LNC000306)
Source: RNAcentral